Molecule: ribosomal RNA, 169 nt
Filed under: Artocarpus altilis
Lineage: Eukaryota; Viridiplantae; Streptophyta; Magnoliopsida; Rosales; Moraceae
Also listed under: 3 other names
Description: 5.8S ribosomal RNA
Rfam family: 5.8S ribosomal RNA
About the family: 5.8S ribosomal RNA (5.8S rRNA) is a component of the large subunit of the eukaryotic ribosome. It is transcribed by RNA polymerase I as part of the 45S precursor that also contains 18S and 28S rRNA. Functionally, it is thought that 5.8S rRNA may be involved in ribosome translocation.
Source: RNAcentral
UAAAAACGACUCUCGGCAACGGAUAUCUCGGCUCUCGCAUCGAUGAAGAACGUAGCGAAAUGCGAUACUUGGUGUGAAUUGCAGAAUCCCGUGAACCAUCGAGUCUUUGAACGCAAGUUGCGCCCGAAGCCAUCCGGCCGAGGGCACGCCUGCCUGGGCGUCACACAUC